GCGCGCUGGGUCGAGUGGUUCUUAACAGUUCAACAGUUCUGUAGCGCAAUUGUGAAAUGUUUAGGACCACUAGACC
This is a microRNA precursor of Panthera pardus (leopard), 76 nucleotides long. The record is from Ensembl. NCBI's taxonomy places the organism in Eukaryota, Metazoa, Chordata, Mammalia, Carnivora, Felidae.